GCGCCCAUAGCUCAGUUGGAUAGAGCGUUGCCCUGCGGAGGCAAAGGCCGGGCGUUCGAGUCGCGCUGGGCGCGCCA
This 77-nucleotide transfer RNA is filed under the name Fusobacteriaceae bacterium. RNAcentral's name for it is "tRNA-Arg". It matches the Rfam family "tRNA". Rfam says of the family: Transfer RNA (tRNA) molecules are approximately 80 nucleotides in length. Their secondary structure includes four short double-helical elements and three loops (D, anti-codon, and T loops). The record is from RNAcentral. Lineage: Bacteria; Fusobacteriati; Fusobacteriota; Fusobacteriia; Fusobacteriales; Fusobacteriaceae.